This 503-nucleotide antisense RNA is filed under the name Streptomyces sp. AVP053U2. Its description in RNAcentral is "Saccharopolyspora sRNA 350". It matches the Rfam family "Saccharopolyspora sRNA 350". The record is from Rfam by way of RNAcentral. Lineage: Bacteria; Bacillati; Actinomycetota; Actinomycetes; Kitasatosporales; Streptomycetaceae.
CGGGUGGUGUACUCCCAGAUGGCGUCGUCGUCCAGCAGCGCCUGGUCGCCGAAGUAGGCGCCGUCGGCCAGGACUCCGAGGGACUCGUCGUCGCCGUAGGGGCCGGUGCCGACCUUCUCGACCCUGCCGUGUGCCAGCAGGAACACCUCGUCGGCCGGGCUGCCGAACGAGGCGAUCACCUGGCCUGCCUCGAUCUCCCGCUGCCGGCAGCGGGAGGCCAGCUCCGAGAGCACCUCCUCGUCCUCGUACGACCGCAGGGCCGGCAGCUCGCCCAGCUCGGUCGGGAUGACCUCGACGCGGUCACCGGUCUUCACGAACGUCACGCGUCCGUCGCCGACGGCGUACGUCAGCCGCCGGUUCACCCGGUACGUACCGCCCUGCACGUCCACCCAGGGCAGCAUGCGCAGCAGCCAGCGCGAGCUGAUCUCCUGCAUCUGCGGUACGGACUUGGUGGUGGUGGCCAGGUUCCGCGCCGCGGCCGUGCCGAGACUCUGCUGCUGCCG